GGUAGCUCAGUGGUAGAGCAAAUGACUGUUAAUCAUUUGGCCGCUGGUUCGAAUCCAGCC
Molecule: transfer RNA, 60 nt
Filed under: marine eukaryotic metagenome
Rfam family: tRNA
About the family: Transfer RNA (tRNA) molecules are approximately 80 nucleotides in length. Their secondary structure includes four short double-helical elements and three loops (D, anti-codon, and T loops).
Source: RNAcentral